AUUGAACGCUGGCGGCAGGCCUAACACAUGCAAGUCGAGCGGAUGAAGGGAGCUUGCUCCUGGAUUCAGCGGCGGACGGGUGAGUAAUGCCUAGGAAUCUGCCUGGUAGUGGGGGAUAACGUCCGGAAACGGGCGCUAAUACCGCAUACGUCCUGAGGGAGAAAGUGGGGGAUCUUCGGACCUCACGCUAUCAGAUGAGCCUAGGUCGGAUUAGCGAGUUGGUGGGGUAAAGGUCUACCAGGGCGACGAUCCGUAACUGGUCUGAGAGGAUGAUCAGUCACACUGGAACUGCGACACGGUCCAGACUCCUACGGGCGGCAGCAGUGGGGAAUAUUGGACAAUGGGCGAAAGCCUGAUCCCGCCAUGCCGCGUGUGUGAAGAAGGUCUUCGGAUUGUAAAGCACUUUAAGUUGGGAGGAAGGGCAGUAAGUUAAUACCUUGCUGUUUUGACGUUACCAACAGAAUAAGCACCGGCUAACUUCGUG
Molecule: ribosomal RNA, 484 nt
Filed under: uncultured bacterium
Lineage: Bacteria
Description: partial 16S ribosomal RNA
Rfam family: Bacterial small subunit ribosomal RNA
Source: RNAcentral